Molecule: ribosomal RNA, 504 nt
Filed under: uncultured bacterium
Lineage: Bacteria
Description: partial 16S ribosomal RNA
Rfam family: Bacterial small subunit ribosomal RNA
Source: RNAcentral
GAUGAACGCUAGCGGCAGGCUUAACACAUGCAAGUCGAGGGGCAGCAUAAAUAGUAGCAAUACUAUUGGUGGCGACCGGCGGACGGGUGCGUAACGCGUAUACAACCUUCCCUAAACAGGGGGAUAAUCUGGAGAAAUUCGGUCUAAUACCCCAUAACAUCAGAGCAGGCAUCUGUUUUGGUUAAAAUUUCCGGAGGUUUAGGAUGGGUAUGCGUAGCAUUAGCUAGUUGGUGAGGUAACGGCUCACCAAGGCGACGAUGCUUAGGGGGACUGAGAGGUUACCCCCCCACACUGGUACUGAGACACGGACCAGACUCCUACGGGAGGCAGCAGUGAGGAAUAUUGGUCAAUGGGCGGAAGCCUGAACCAGCCAUGCCGCGUGCAGGAUGACGGCUCUAUGAGUUGUAAACUGCUUUUGUACGAGGGUAAAGUGGGUUACGUGUAGCCUUUUGAAAGUAUCGUACGAAUAAGGAUCGGCUAACUCCGUGCCAGCCGCCGCGGUAA